This is a long non-coding RNA of Gadus macrocephalus (Pacific cod), 1048 nucleotides long. RefSeq lists it as uncharacterized. The transcript is spliced from 2 exons. The record is from RefSeq and is a predicted model, not a curated record. Lineage: Eukaryota; Metazoa; Chordata; Actinopteri; Gadiformes; Gadidae.
AGCUCUUCAUCUUCCACGCCUCCAUCCCGACCGCUGAGGCUCCUGGGAAGUUGAAGAACCGAGACGAUAAGAAGCUGGUCAGCACGGACAAGGAGAAGCCUAUCAAGGAAUGCUGAUCUUUCAGCUGUCCAAGGACUGUGUGGCUCAGGGCUGCAGCGUGGACCUCUUCCUGUUCCCCAGCCAGUACCUGGACAUCGCCACCACGGGGGAUGUGCCCGCGCACACCGGGGGCGCCGUCUACAAGUACAGCAACUUCCAGGUGUCUGUGUUUGGGUGGGUUGGUGGGUCGGUUGUGUGUGCGUGUGUGUGUCUGUGUUUGUGUGUGUGGGGGUGUGAGUGUUAUAUUGCUUGUGUGUUUGUUGCUGUGUUGAUGGGUUGAGUGUGCGUGUGUGUGUGUGUCUGUGCGUGUGUGUGUGUGUGCGUUUAGAACACAUUACAAUCUAUUUAAACAUGGAUGUUUUUGUGGCCCGAAAUGGGAAAACAAUCUAUUAAUGAAACUGUGGAUACUUUCUAGUUAGGCUAUUGUCUCUGGCUACAGGCCAGGCAUGUGCACUUGAAGCAGACUUUAGAUCAGAUGUAAAAAAACAACGCUUAGCUUUGCUUUAUUAUUAUAUUUACUCAGUAGUUGGCCUCAAGUGAUAAAGAAAGUGUAGCAAUUAAUUAGGAUUCAAAAGACUGUUUGUCACACUUUUUUGUUCAAUUUACAAUUGAUUUGAAAAUAAAACCAACACACCCACAAACUCAAAAUAAAAAGUAUGAUAUCACGUUUGCUGUAUUGUCGCAGUAAUUUACACACAAUACAUGCAUACACACAAAUAUGCACAUAGAGAAUCCCAAUGCAUUGCACACAAAGCCAAAUGAAAAUGUGUACCUUUUUCAAUAUUACCAAUGGGAACAACACUAUAAAUUAGCUUCUUUCAAUGUUAUGAAUUUUGAGAGGCAGACGAAUUGUUGUAUGUUUUUGUAAACGCAUCUGAAAGGCCUUUGCCCCCACACCUUUUGUGAUUUCUUUUUUUGUAUUGGAGGAAAAUAAACAAUGUUUCCUCGG